This 510-nucleotide ribosomal RNA is filed under the name uncultured bacterium. RNAcentral describes it as "partial 16S ribosomal RNA". It matches the Rfam family "Bacterial small subunit ribosomal RNA", at positions 28 to 507 of the family's 1533-position model. The record is from RNAcentral.
GACGAACGCUGGCGGCGUGCUUAACACAUGCAAGUCGAACGAAGAGCGAUGGAAGCUUGCUUCUAUCAAUCUUAGUGGCGAACGGGUGAGUAACGCGUAAUCAACCUGCCCUUCAGAGGGGGACAACAGUUGGAAACGACUGCUAAUACCGCAUACGAUCUAAUCUCGGCAUCGAGGAUAGAUGAAAGGUGGCCUCUACAUGUAAGCUAUCACUGAAGGAGGGGAUUGCGUCUGAUUAGCUAGUUGGAGGGGUAACGGCCCACCAAGGCGAUGAUCAGUAGCCGGUCUGAGAGGAUGAACGGCCUCAUUGGGACUGAGACACGGCCCAGACUCCUACGGGAGGCAGCAGUGGGGAAUCUUCCGCAAUGGACGAAAGUCUGACGGAGCAACGCCGCGUGAGUGAGGACGGCCGUCGGGUUGUAAAGCUCUGUUAAUCGGGACGAAAGGCCUUCUUGCGAAUAGUGAGAAGGAUUGACGGUACCGGAAUAGAAAGCCACGGCUAACUACGUG